CCCCAAACAAAAAAAAAAAAGGGGGGGGGGGAAAAAAACCACCCUCCUCAAAAAAUAGAUAGGGUGGGGGGGGACACACCCCCCCCCCCCCCCACACAUAUAUAUAUAGGGGGGGAGCGCCACACACGCGGGAGCGGCCGGUUUAUUGUAUUUAAUCGCCGGAGAUCUCACUAGAGGCGACAGCUGUAUGAUAGACAGGCUGAUGACUUUCCUUGACUAGUUUAGAGAGAGUGCAUGGCCGCCGUCAGCUCGUACCGUGAGGCGUCCUGUUAAUUCAGGCAACGAGCGAGACCCACGCCCUCAGAUACCAGCAUAUCCUUUCUUUGGAUGAUGGGCACACUAAUGGGACCGCCUAUGAUAAAUACGAGGAAGGAGUAGACGACGGUAGGUCCGUAUGCCCCGAAUCUCUGGGCAACACGCGGGCUACAAUGGCUGAGACAAUGGGUUCCGACACCGAAAGGUGGAGGUAAUCCUCUAAACUCAGCCGUAGUUCGGAUUGAGAACUGUAACGGGUUCACAGAAGCUCCCUGCACCUGCACACAUAGGAAGGGCGGGGACCUCG
Molecule: ribosomal RNA, 562 nt
Filed under: uncultured methanogenic archaeon
Lineage: Archaea; Methanobacteriati; Methanobacteriota
Description: partial 16S ribosomal RNA
Rfam family: Archaeal small subunit ribosomal RNA (bases 109-562)
Source: RNAcentral